RNAcentral lists this ribosomal RNA (301 nucleotides) under uncultured bacterium. Its description in RNAcentral is "partial 16S ribosomal RNA". It matches the Rfam family "Bacterial small subunit ribosomal RNA", at positions 509 to 807 of the family's 1533-position model. The record is from RNAcentral.
CAGCCGCCGCGGGAAUACGUAGGGUGCGAGCGUUAAUCGGAAUUACUGGGCGUAAAGCGUGCGCAGGCGGUUCGUUAAGACAGAUGUGAAAUCCCCGGGCUUAACCUGGGAACUGCAUUUGUGACUGGCGAGCUAGAGUAUGGCAGAGGGGGGUAGAAUUCCACGUGUAGCAGUGAAAUGCGUAGAGAUGAGGAGGAAUACCGAUGGCGAAGGCAGCCCCCUGGGCCAAUACUGACGCUCAUGCACGAAAGCGUGGGGAGCAAACAGGAUUAGAUACCCCCGUAGUCCCUGUCUCUUAUAC